Drosophila willistoni is the source of this 1246-nucleotide long non-coding RNA. RefSeq lists it as uncharacterized. The transcript is spliced from 2 exons. The record is from RefSeq and is a predicted model, not a curated record. Lineage: Eukaryota; Metazoa; Arthropoda; Insecta; Diptera; Drosophilidae.
GACUGAGAAUAGGCCAACAUCUAUUUUUUAUACCCAAAUAAUAACGAGCUCACGAUUAAAACUGACUAACUGUGCUGGAUAUCUGAACUACCCUGUGUUUUAUACGAGUGAAAUUAGACACACGGCCUACUUGAUAAGAGAUGAAAUUCAACAAAAAUAAUUUAAAUCUUCCAAUCGAAACAGGCCGUGAAAAACCAUAUACAACGUUGAGACUUUCUAGAUUUCAGUAAGGUGAUGUACACUGUUGAGUUCACACGGCUUCGCUUGGGGAUUUCCGACAAGCGUUCUGUCGCUGUCGCCGAGUGUGGUUCGGUGGAAGGCGCGCACAAGAAUUGUGCGUCUCGAGUUCAGUCGUUGUUACAACUCGAGUGCGACCGAACUCGCUGCGCUAAUUAUUGAUCAAGAAAAUAAUACACGUUAUACACCAAUCAGUUUUCCAACUUGAUUUAUUACAACAAUGCCACGAACACGCAGGGGGCUAAUUUGAGUCGUCAAACAAACAGAUCUAGAGGCAUGCAAGAUAGAAGAGCAAUAAGAUCAGAUGCAGAAAGGCAACAAAGUAAUGCAGAUGUCCGUGUAAGAAUGGCACAGUUACGUGCAUCACGAGAUGAGCGAAACCAACAAAGACAAUUGGAACGAAGAGAAGCGCGCAGAUUCGUAGCCAACAGACGUAGAGGGAUUGACCAACAUCAUCAAGUACUUCGAGCAUUUACAUCACAUUCAUUUCUUCGACUAGCAUUUCAGUAUGAGCCUGAUGUUGAAUAUUACGCUCAUUCCAAAGUGGUAAUUGGUACAUUGGACAAGGAAUGCGCGCACUGUCAAGCCCUUAAAUUUAAAAAUGAGCCAAUUGGGAUGUGUUGCUCAUCAGGAAAAGUGAAACUUCCAGAAAUUGAAACACCGCCGGAACCAUUGCACGGCCUCCUUAUUGGUACUGAUCCAAAUUCUUCGCUGUUCUUGCGUUCAAUUCGGCAAUUCAAUUCAUGUUUUCAAAUGACAAAUCACCUCAAUUCACCAUUUGCAACGCGCAUUGUCAGCGAGCUGGACGCUCUGUUAAAUGAGCACAACGAAUUGUUGAAAUUAUUCAAAUCACAUAUGCAUAAGCUACAAAGUGACAAUCACGCUAUUUUCAUCAAUCCUGAUAGAACACCAGCUGGAGGGCAUAUACGUCGAUUCAACGCACCUGUUGUUGACGACGUGGCUGGAAUCAUGGUUGGCGACCAUACAGCUACGCGACAAAUCGUGAUUC